GGCCUCGUGGCUCAGCUGGUAGAGAGUGCACGGACAAAGCGCAGGUGGCAUCCAUGCAUGGGUUCGAAUCCCACUGAGGCUA
RNAcentral lists this transfer RNA (82 nucleotides) under Echinostoma caproni. It matches the Rfam family "tRNA". Rfam says of the family: Transfer RNA (tRNA) molecules are approximately 80 nucleotides in length. Their secondary structure includes four short double-helical elements and three loops (D, anti-codon, and T loops). Lineage: Eukaryota; Metazoa; Platyhelminthes; Trematoda; Plagiorchiida; Echinostomatidae. The record is from Rfam by way of RNAcentral.